GUCUGCCUGCCCGUGGUAUAUGACUUAACGGCCGCGGUAUUUUGACCGUGCAAAGGUAGCGCAAUCACUUGUCUAUUAAAUGUAGACCUGUAUGAAUGGCAAGACGAGGGCUAAACUGUCUCCUUUUUCAAGUCAAUGAAAUUGAUUUCCCCGUGCAGAAGCGGGGAUAGACCCAUAAGACGAGAAGACCCUGUGGAGCUUAAGACACAAACAGCCCAUGUUAAGCCCUUCCCUUAAAGAAAUUAAACUUAAUGUGACCCUGUUUCGUGUCUUUGGUUGGGGCGACCACGGAGAAACAAAUAACCUCCACGCAGAAUAACAACACAGUUGUCUCAUCCUAGAGCCGCAGCUCCUUACAACAGAACCUCUGACCUUAUAGAUCCGGCAGUGCCGAUUAACGGACCGAGUUACCCCAGGGAUAACAGCGCAAUUCCCUUUUAGAGCCCAUAUCGACAAGGGAGUUUACGACCUCGAUGUUGGAUCAGGACAUCCUAAUGGUGCAACCGCUAUUAAGGGCUCGUUUGUUCAACGAUUAACAGUCCUACGUGAUCUG
This 553-nucleotide ribosomal RNA is filed under the name Kanekonia queenslandica. RNAcentral describes it as "partial 16S ribosomal RNA". It matches the Rfam family "Bacterial large subunit ribosomal RNA", at positions 1853 to 2607 of the family's 2925-position model. The record is from RNAcentral. Lineage: Eukaryota; Metazoa; Chordata; Actinopteri; Perciformes; Aploactinidae.